Long non-coding RNA from Equus caballus (horse), 2951 nucleotides. The record is from Ensembl. NCBI's taxonomy places the organism in Eukaryota, Metazoa, Chordata, Mammalia, Perissodactyla, Equidae.
AAAAGUUUCCAUGAUUUUUAAAGACUAUAAUCACUUUAAUAUGCUGCAUUUCAACUUUGACAAUGCAAACAGGUAAAGUAAGAAAAGAAACUGAGUGUAGUAGUAUCUAGUGGGUAAGAAUAAUUUAUUAUACUGGAAGCUACCAGAUAAUUCACGGUGAAGAUGCUUGUCCUAACUGCUAAAAUCUUUAGUUACAUCUUUGUAAACUUGAAAGGAUGAAGAGGAGGGAACCAAAGUUUUUUUCUUGUGUACUCUGGGUCAGGCACCUUACAAAUCUAGAAGAAAAUGAAAAGAAACAUUCUGCCUAUCUUGACAUGGAAAUUUAAACAUUUUGUUUUUCAUCCUUUGCCAUUUCAAAGUAUUAAAAAAAAAAAAGGCCUAUGCAGUUAUGCAAAUAAAUCUCACCUCAGGAAGAUGCCUUUUCCUAAGAGAACAGGGUAGAAACAUUUUCCACUUGCUAGUGACUUGUUAUCUAGUUUUAACUAAGCCGUCAGUCUAAUGUAAAGGGGGAAAAAACAGGAGAGGGGAAACAGAGAAGAGCUAGCUGAGUGCCAGAGAUUCCAAAACCCUAAUCAUGAGACAAAAUUCCCUAGGUAGUUCUCUAGAAGAGGAGAGAUCUGGCCUGGCAAGGGGAGGGAUAGAAGUGGUGAAUCAUUAACUCUUUUAAUCCUCCCAACAACCUUUUAAGAUAGGUAUCGUUUUUCAAAAGAGGAGACUGAAAGUAGAAAGAUUAUAUUGGAGAAGGUAACAUUAUACCACUGCCUCCUUUACAUGAAGUGGGAAGAGUUUGUCAGGCACAGUGAGGGAAGACAUUACAAGCAGAGAAAUCAACAUAUGUACUAUACGGCUGGAUUACAGGCCACAGGGGUCAUUCCAAAUAUUUAUUGAGGACAAGACCUUGUGUUAAGUGCUGAAGAUACAGAGAUAAAUAAAACAGCUGCCCUAAAGCAACUGACACUAGCGAGAGAGACCUUCAAGAAAACAAACAAAAAAUAUAAUAUAGGGUGAAUAACUGCUGUGAUAGAGGCAAAUGUUCAAGAGAUUGGAAAAUGAUAAGAUGAGCAGCCAGAGGGAAUGUGGGAAAGCCAAUGAAGGUGAUGCUUAAGCUAAGUCCAAAUGUUAAAGUUAUUCGCUACUGAUUCUAAAAUUGUUCUGGGAUAGAUUCUAAGGAAGUGAAAUUGGAAGAACAUCAGAGAAGAUGAGAAAAGAAACAAACCAGUCAAAGGAAUUCUAAAAGGUCUAAUUCAAAUUUGUGAGCCGCGUUUAUUUAGAGAAAUAAAUGAACGUUGCAAGAGAUAGCUGCUAUAAGAGCUUACAGUAGGGUCAUUCACUGAUCUGGCCAGAAAUGUUAGGAAGGCUUCCUUGAGGAAGUCACACUGGAAUGGAGAUCUGAGGAUAAGAGAGGAGAAAAAGAAACAGAGGGAACUUUUGUCAGGAGGGAACUUUGGAAGCCUGAGGGACUGAAAGGAGGCCAUUGUGGCUAGAGCAUAGAAUGCUGGGAGGGAGUGCUACAGUAUGAAGCUGGAGACCAGAUUAAGCAGGACCUCACUGGCCAUGCUGAGAACCUUCAUCUUUUUCUUGAGAGCAUCUUUUUCUUGUGGAGGGGAUUUGACAUAGUCAGAUCUGUGUUUUAAAAAGAUUAUUCCAGCUGCAGUGUGGGAACGUGAACAGGGUCAGCAUUAGACCAAUUAGGACCUAUGGGUAGUGGUUAGUGUCGGUAGUGGUUCAAGUGAAUUGAGUGGGAAGAAGGAAGUGGAGACAAGUGGGAGAAAUGGAACAAUUUGGGAAGUAAAAUGGGAGAUCUUGGUGAUGGAUUUAGAUAUGGUAGAGUGGAAUGGGGACUGACGAGAGGGAGGAGUCAGAGACGAUGGGAUUUCUGGCGGGCCCAGUGCGUGGGUAGUAAAUGCUAUCGCUGGAUGUGGGGGACACUGAAAGAGAGUUGGUUUUGGAGGAAGAUGGUGUUUCAACAUUUGAACAUGUUGAGUUUAAGAUGUUUUUGUGACUUCAAGGAGAAAUGUCAAGUAAGCAGAUCUAUGGAUCUGCAGAGGAGAAGUCUGGGCUGGAGAAAAAAAAUAUUUUACAGUUUGUAAUUUGUCCUUUUCCACAAGUUUUGCUGCCUAAUUGCUCAUUCUUAAGCAAUAUAGCUUAGGCCUGUUUUUGAACUCUGCGUCAAUGGAAUCAUAGAGUAAGUUCUUUCACAUCUUGAAAUUUUUUGAUGAACGUUAUGUCUGUAAGAUUCACUUAUGUGGAUGCGGCUGUAGUUUACUCAUUUUCAUUUUGUAGGUUACUAUAUUGCAUGGGUAUACCAUGAUUUGUUUAUCUAUUCUACUAUUGGUGGACGUAUAGGCUAUCUUGUUUGGGCUAUUAUAGACUAUGCUGUUGUGAAUGUCUGCACGUGUGUGCACGUGUGUGUGUAUCCUGGAGCACAUAAACAUGGAUUUUGAUAGCGUCUUUACCUUGGUAUGGAAUUCCUGGUUCAUAGGGAAUAUUUAUCUUCAGCUUUACAAGACCAUGCCAAAAUUUUUCAAAAUGAUUGUACCAAUUUAUAUAACGUAAAAGUUCCUGUCACUCCACAUCGUCACCAACACUUGAACUGUCUGACAUUUUAAUUUUUGCCAAUAUAAUGGAUAUGCAAUGCCAACUUAUUGUGGCACUAUUUUGCAUUUCCCUGAUUAUUAAUGAAGAAUAGCAUCUCUUCGUAUGUUUCAUUAUCUCAUUGUUUAGGUGUUUUCCCAUUUUUAUAUUGGGUUGUCUGGCUUUUUCUUAUUGAUUGUAUUAAUUGAUUAUAUAAUGUGGAAACAAGUCUUUGGUUGAUUAUAUGUGCUACAAAUAUUUUUUCCGCUCUGUGGCUUGCCUUUUCACUCUCUUAGUAAUGUCUUUUGAUGAAAAGGAAUUCUUUUUUUGUUGUUGGCUGACGAAGAUUUGCCCUGAGCUCACAGCUAUUGCCAAUC